Molecule: ribosomal RNA, 463 nt
Filed under: uncultured bacterium
Lineage: Bacteria
Description: partial 16S ribosomal RNA
Rfam family: Bacterial small subunit ribosomal RNA
Source: RNAcentral
GACGAACGCUGGCGGCGUGCUUAACACAUGCAAGUCGAACGGUAAGGCCCUUCGGGGUACACGAGUGACGAACGGGUGAGUAACGCGUGAGUAACCUGCCCUUCACUCUGGGAUAACAGUUGGAAACGGCUGCUAAUACCGGAUAUUCAGCUCCUGUCGCAUGGUGGGGGUUGGAAAGUUUUGGUGGUGGAGGAUGGGCUCGCGUCCUAUCAGCUUGUUGGUGGGGUGAUGGCCUACCAAGGCGUCGACGGGUAGCCGGCCUGAGAGGGCGACCGGCCACAUUGGGACUGAGAUACGGCCCAAACUCCUACGGGAGGCAGCAGUGGGGAAUAUUGCACAAUGGGCGGAAGCCUGAUGCAGCAACGCCGCGUGCGGGAUGACGGCCUUCGGGUUGUAAACCGCUUUCAGCAGGGACGAAGCGCAAGUGACGGUACCUGCAGAAGAAGCACCGGCUAACUACGUG